CCUACGGGGGGCAGCAGUGGGGAAUAUUGCACAAUGGGGGAAACCCUGAUGCAGCGACGCCGCGUGAGUGAAGAAGUAGUUCGGUAUGUAAAGCUCUAUCAGCAGGGAAGAAAAUGACGGUACCUGAUUAAGAAGCCCCGGCUAACUACGUGCCAGCAGCCGCGGUAAUACGGAGGGGGCAAGCGUUAUCCGGAUUUACUGGGGGUAAAGGGAGCGUAGACGGCAGCACAAGUCUGGAGUGAAAUGCCGGGGCUUAACCCCGGAAAUGCCGUGGAAACUGGGCAGCUUGAGUGCAGGGGAGGCAAGUGGAAUGCCUGGUGUAGCGGUGAAAUGCGUAGAUAUUAGGAGGAACCCCAGUGGCGAAGGCGGCUUACUGGACUGUAACUGACGUUGAGGCUCGAAAGCGUGGGGAGCAAACAGGAUUAGAUACCCCUGUAGUC
RNAcentral lists this ribosomal RNA (440 nucleotides) under uncultured bacterium. RNAcentral's name for it is "partial 16S ribosomal RNA". It matches the Rfam family "Bacterial small subunit ribosomal RNA", at positions 338 to 795 of the family's 1533-position model. The record is from RNAcentral.